This 819-nucleotide ribosomal RNA is filed under the name uncultured archaeon. RNAcentral's name for it is "bacterial SSU rRNA". It matches the Rfam family "Archaeal small subunit ribosomal RNA", at positions 40 to 865 of the family's 1478-position model. The record is from RNAcentral.
GAUACUAAGCCAUGCGAGUCAUUGUAGUAAUACAAGGCAUACGGCUCAGUAACGCGUAGUCAACCUAACCUAUGGACGGGAAUAACCUCGGGAAACUGAGUAUAAUGCCCGAUAGAACAUUAUGCCUGGAAUGGUUUAUGUUCCAAAUGAUUUAUCGCCGUAGGAUGGGACUGCGGCCUAUCAGUUUGUUGGUGAGGUAAUGGCCCACCAAGACUAUUACAGGUACGGGCUCUGAGAGGAGUAGCCCGGAGAUGGGUACUGAGACACGGACCCAGGCCCUAUGGGGCGCAGCAGGCGAGAAAACUUUGCAAUGUGCGAAAGCACGACAAGGUUAAUCCGAGUGGUUUCUGCUAAAGGAACCUUUUGUUAGUCCUAGAAACACUAACGAAUAAGGGGUGGGCAAGUUCUGGUGUCAGCCGCCGCGGUAAAACCAGCACCUCAAGUGGUCAGGAUGAUUAUUGGGCCUAAAGCAUCCGUAGCCGGAUCUGUAAGUUUUCGGUUAAAUCUGUACGCUCAACGUACAGGCUGCCGGGACUACUGCAGAUCUAGGGAGUGGGAGAGGUAGACGGUACUCGGGAGGAAGGGGUAAAAUCCUUUGAUCUCUCGAUGACCACCUGUGGCGAAGGCGGUCUACCAGAACACGUCCGACGGUGAGGGAUGAAAGCUGGGGGAGCAAACCGGAUUAGAUACCCGGGUAGUCCCAGCUGUAAACUAUGCAAACUCAGUGAUGCAUUGACUUGUGGUCAAUGCAGUGCUGCAGGGAAGCCGUUAAGUUUGCCGCCUGGGAAGUACGUACGCAAGUAUGAAACUUAAAGGAAU